GAACCGACUAAUGUUGAAAAAUUAGCGGAUGACCUGUGGCUGGGGGUGAAAGGCCAAUCAAACCGGGAGAUAGCUGGUUCUCCCCGAAAGCUAUUUAGGUAGCGCCUCGUGAACUCAUCUCCGGGGGUAGAGCACUGUUUCGGCUAGGGGGCCAUCCCGGCUUACCAACCCGAUGCAAACUGCGAAUACCGGAGAAUGUUAUCACGGGAGACACACGGCGGGUGCUAACGUCCGUCGUGAAGAGGGAAACAACCCAGACCGCCAGCUAAGGUCCCAAAGUCAUGGUUAAGUGGGAAACGAUGUGGGAAGGCCCAGACAGCCAGGAUGUUGGCUUAGAAGCAGCCAUCAUUUAAAGAAAGCGUAAUAGCUCACUGGUCGAGUCGGCCUGCGCGGAAGAUGUAACGGGGCUAAACCAUGCACCGAAGCUGCGGCAGCGACACUCAGGUGUUGUUGGGUAGGGGAGCGUUCUGUAAGCCUGCGAAGGUGGCCUGUGAGGGUUGCUGGAGGUAUCAGAAGUGCGAAUGCUGACAUAAGUAACGAUAAAGCGGGUGAAAAGCCCGCUCGCCGGAAGACCAAGGGUUCCUGUCCAACGUUAAUCGGGGCAGGGUGAGUCGACCCCUAAGGCGAGGCCGAAAGGCGUAGUCGAUGGGAAACGGGUUAAUAUUCCCGUACUUGGUGUUACUGCGAAGGGGGGACGGAGAAGGCUAUGUUGGCCGGGCGACGGUUGUCCCGGUUUAAGCGUGUAGGUGUGUGUUCCAGGUAAAUCCGGUUCACUUUAACACUGAGGCGUGAUGACGAGGCACUACGGUGCUGAAGCAACAAAUGCCCUGCUUCCAGGAAAAGCCUCUAAGCAUCAGGUAACAUCAAAUCGUACCCCAAACCGACACAGGUGGUCAGGUAGAGAAUACCAAGGCGCUUGAGAGAACUCGGGUGAAGGAACUAGGCAAAAUGGUGCCGUAACUUCGGGAGAAGGCACGCUGACACGUAGGUGAAGUGAUUUACUCAUGGAGCUGAAGUCAGUCGAAGAUACCAGCUGGCUGCAACUGUUUAUUAAAAACACAGCACUGUGCAAACACGAAAGUGGACGUAUACGGUGUGACGCCUGCCCGGUGCCGGAAGGUUAAUUGAUGGGGUCAGCGCAAGCGAAGCUCCUGAUCGAAGCCCCGGUAAACGGCGGCCGUAACUAUAACGGUCCUAAGGUAGCGAAAUUCCUUGUCGGGUAAGUUCCGACCUGCACGAAUGGCGUAAUGAUGGCCAGGCUGUCUCCACCCGAGACUCAGUGAAAUUGAACUCGCUGUGAAGAUGCAGUGUACCCGCGGCAAGACGGAAAGACCCCGUGAACCUUUACUAUAGCUUGACACUGAACAUUGAGCCUUGAUGUGUAGGAUAGGUGGGAGGCUUUGAAGUGUGGACGCCAGUCUGCAUGGAGCCGGCCUUGAAAUACCACCCUUUAAUGUUUGAUGUUCUAACGUGGACCCGUGAUCCGGGUUGCGGACAGUGUCUGGUGGGUAGUUUGACUGGGGCGGUCUCCUCCUAAAGAGUAACGGAGGAGCACGAAGGUUGGCUAAUCCUGGUCGGACAUCAGGAGGUUAGUGCAAUGGCAUAAGCCAGCUUGACUGCGAGCGUGACGGCGCGAGCAGGUGCGAAAGCAGGUCAUAGUGAUCCGGUGGUUCUGAAUGGAAGGGCCAUCGCUCAACGGAUAAAAGGUACUCCGGGGAUAACAGGCUGAUACCGCCCAAGAGUUCAUAUCGACGGCGGUGUUUGGCACCUCGAUGUCGGCUCAUCACAUCCUGGGGCUGAAGUAGGUCCCAAGGGUAUGGCUGUUCGCCAUUUAAAGUGGUACGCGAGCUGGGUUUAGAACGUCGUGAGACAGUUCGGUCCCUAUCUGCCGUGGGCGCUGGAGAACUGAGGGGGGCUGCUCCUAGUACGAGAGGACCGGAGUGGACGCAUCACUGGUGUUCGGGUUGUCAUGCCAAUGGCACUGCCCGGUAGCUAAAUGCGGAAGAGAUAAGUGCUGAAAGCAUCUAAGCACGAAACUUGCCCCGAGAUGAGUUCUCCCUGAGACUUUAGGUCUCCUGAAGGAACGUUGAAGACGACGACGUUGAUAGGCCGGGUGUGUAAGCGCAGCGAUGCGUUGAGCUAACCGGUACUAAUGAACCGUGAGGCUUAACCUU
RNAcentral lists this ribosomal RNA (2174 nucleotides) under Salmonella enterica. Its description in RNAcentral is "partial 23S ribosomal RNA". It matches the Rfam family "Bacterial large subunit ribosomal RNA", at positions 776 to 2925 of the family's 2925-position model. The record is from RNAcentral. Lineage: Bacteria; Pseudomonadati; Pseudomonadota; Gammaproteobacteria; Enterobacterales; Enterobacteriaceae.